UAAUACCUGGUAUAUUUGCAAUCAUUGUUCUAUCCUGAUAGUGAAUUUUCUGAAUUUAAUUGCAAUAUGUUCAUGUGUUAAUCCUUGCAGGUUACCUAGAAUGCAAGUCAUUUUAAGCAAAGGUUGAGAUCAUUUUUAAUUUGUUGUUUUAUAAUAAUUUGAAAUUUUUGAAGCUUAUCAAAGCAUCUUCGGAUUUGGUCUCUCCUGAAUUAUUUGAGAACAAGAUAGUGGAUGCCAUGAAAUUCCAGAUUCUUUGAGAAUGAGUAGAGGGGAUAGUGGGUGCUAUGAAUUCACUGGUUCUUCUUUCAGAGUAGGCAGCUUUUGACUCAGCCGUGAAGAAAUGGUCUGCUGUUAUGACGAAAAAUGGCUUCAGAAUAGGCAAUGGUAAAUAUCAUAUGACCUUGUGAAUAGUGGUUUAAAAUCAAUGUAGAAGAUUUUGGAAGAGAACUAAUGCUCUCUGACAGAUUUACACGUGAAGAUGGUAAUGAUACUUGCAAACUCAGUGCGCUUCUGAAAGAAGAUGAAUUGGUUGUGUGGGAGGAAGAAUCCUUAAGUUUUUUAAUCUUUCAUUGAGGGGACAGACAUCGUUUAAGGUUGCAAAUCUAAGAGCUGCUCUUUUCUUGUUCUUUUCACAAGUGUCUUCAUUAGUGAGCAUCCAUAAAAAGUAGUGAGCUAUUUCACUUGUGGCAACUACCAAUGAGAAACCUUUAUUAAAAUAUAAGGAGUAAAUUGUAAUUUACUUGUAAGUUUAAUAUGGGUGCAAUUGGCAGCUCAGUACCAUGUUUCCACUCUACCUCUUUGGAUUUGUGUUGUGAAAUGUAAGAUUACUUUAAACUUUGGUAGGCUGGCAAUAGCCAAUCAGCUAUGAAACCUUCCCUCAAGAAAUUCAUAAAAGUUGUGAAAUUUGAUUUUGAAGCCCUUUUUCUCCUUACCGGGAGUAGAAUAUAAAAUAUUUUAAAUUUAUUCGGAUAUAUUUAUUAUUAAAUUAAGUCUAUAAAUUUAAAAUUUAGAGAUAAAAGUUAUUUUUUAAUAAAUGAGUUGAUAAAAUAUAUUAAUUUUUUUUUAAUGAUGACCGUUCAAUUUCUCUAAUUUUCUUUAAAUAUCUAUUAAUGAAAAAAAGAAAAUAUAAAAAAUUUCCACAAAAUUGAUAUAAAUUUUUUUAAUCAUCCCAAAUAUAUUUUUUAAGAAAAUAAUUUAUUUUUAUAAUGUUAAAAAAUAAAGGGAUAAUAUGAUUUUUAAAAAUCAUAUUGUUUUUUAAAAAGUGAAAUUUUUUCUUUAAAAAUUAUUUAGAUUUUUUUUAUUAAUUUUGAGUCUUCAAAUGCUAAAAAAAUGCAAAAAAAAUAUUUUAUUGGAAAAAUGUUUUUUUUUCAAAACAAAUGAGCUUGACUUUGGUGUAUGUUAGAGCUGCUAUAUUAAAAAGGUAGCUCAUUAAAUAUGUUGGUUAGGAAUUAUUAAAAAUUAUUUAUUAAAUUAAUUUAAUAUAUUCUAAUCAUAAAAAUAUCAUAAUAAAUAAAUAAAGUUUCAAACUACAUUCUUUAAGAAAAUCUAAAAUAGUAAAUAUAUAGUAAAUUUUCAAUCACAAUCCUAAAUGUUUUCAUAUUUAAAUCACAAUCCUAAAUGUAUUUGCCUGUAAUAAUGGUGAUGUUAUAUAGCUAAAAGCUAAUUAGACAUGAUGUUAUCAUAAAAUAAUAUCACUUGGUGAGGGUUCAAUAAGUUAAUAUAUAGUUUCACUCAUUUCAAGUGAAAAUUCGAAUGUUACAAACAUUCAUUUUUUAAUAAGAAAUGUUACAUUUUUCUGAAUAAGUCGAAUUUUUAUAUAAAAUUACAAUUAACAUACACAAUUUAGUAAAUCUCUAUAACGCCUCUAAUUAUAGAAUUACUGAUCAAUGAGCUGAAAAAUUUUUUUAUCAAUGAGUCGGCUAUACCAUUGCCAGAUUUUAAAAAAUAUUAUAAUUGACUAUAUUUUCUUACAAAUAUAACAAUUAAUGAUAAAAAAAAUAAAAAUAUUUAAUUCUUAUAUAAUUACUCUUGAAUUCUAAGUAUUUGUUUAUAUUCAUCAUAUUCUCUAAGUUUAUUGAUUCAGUAAUUACCGUAGGCGUCAAUCACCCACAUUAUUUUUCUUGUAAAUUUAAUUCAUUACUGUAUAGCUCUAUUUUUCAAUUAUAUCAAAUGGUCUGUCUUGCUUAUUAAAAAAAUUAUGAAAUACAGUUUAAUUUUCUUUAGCAAAACUAUUUAAAGGUAAAUUAUAUUUUGAUUUUUAUAUUUUAACAUAAUUAACAGAUCAUUUCUAUAUUUUUAAAACUGAAUACUUAAAUUUAUCUAUAAUCAGUUUGUCCAAAUUUGAGAUCUCUCCAUUUAUUUAUUUAUUUUUUUUAAAUUGGAGGUUGGGGGAUUCGAACCUGAAAUCUUCUCAGAUUUACUCGGAUGCACUUACCACCAGGCUAAGCCUGUGAGUGUCUCUCUAUUUAAUUUUACAGUUAAAAGUGUAAAAAUAUCUUUAUUACUCUCUUUAAAUGGAUAAACUACACUUAAAUUUUUAAAUUUUAGCAAAAUUAAUGAAUCGAUUUCUAUAUUUUUGAAAUCGUACAUAUUAAAUCCCUCUAUAAUCAGUUCAUCCUCAUCUAUUAUAAUUUAAACAUUUUGAUCCUUCAUUUUUAUUUGAAAUAACACUAAAGUUCUCAUUAACUUUUAUUUAUAAUAUCUCAUUUAACUAAAUUUUAGCAUUUUUUUCUUUAAUUUUCAUUCAUUAAAAUAUUUUAAUAUUUAUAUUUUCAAAUUUUUUUAAAAAUACUUACAAUUUCAGCUAUUUUAAAUAGGUUAUAAACUUUAUAAAGAGUAUUUUAAGAAUCAAUCAUACUUUUAGAAAAAAUUUAACCAUCUACUAACUUUGAACUAAUAUUUAUAAUUGAUAGAAUAACUGUAAUUUUAGACGAAUUAAAUAUAUAGAGAUUUAAGAAUUUAAUUUAAAAAUUAUAAAGACUUAUUUAUCAAUUAUAUUAAAAUUUAAAAAUCAAAAUAUAAUUAUACAAUAUAAAAUUCUCACUUAUAUUAAAAAUAAUUUAAGUGUUUAUAUAAACAUUUUAAGUAUUUGAAAUAUUUAUUUUUUCUUUAAUCAGUUGAAUAAUGAAAUUAUAAAUGAAAAUAUUUUUUACUUAGAUAAAAUAAUUAUAUAAAAUUUUAAAUUGUAAAUUGAAAUUAAUCUAUUAAUUAUAUUAAAAUUUAAAAAUUAAAGUGUAAUUUUUUUAAAAUUUAAAUUAAAAUAUGUUGCUUUUAGGUAGCAGGCGGUGAUGGCGCGGACUUGCUUUGGAGCUCCGUUUGGGCCGCUAUUUUGUCUGAAUGGCUUAGGCAUGUGGCUACUGGCCUGUCCAAUUCCCUAUCUAACAUAAAUUAAAUAGUAAUAGUAAUUUUUCUCUCAUAUUUAAAUGGGAGAUAAUUUAAUCUUGAUUAUUGCUAUUAUUAAUAAAUUAUUUUUAUAUUUUCAAAAAUUUAUUGAAAUAUCUUUAAUUUUUAUCUUUCGUUAAUAAAAUAGUUAUUUUAUCAUUUUUUUCGUUAAAAAUAAAUAAAAUAUAAGAGAAAAUUUUUAAAAUCCAAUUUUACUCUUAAAUAAAACUCUUUAUUUAAUCAUUAAAUAUUACUAUUAUUAACAAGUCAGUCUCUACAUUUUUAAAAAUCUAUUAAAACGUUAUUAUCUUUUCUUAUAUCUAUUAAAAUAUUCUUAGCGUUUCUUUUUAUUAAUGAAAUAAUCUUUAUUUUUUCUCACAUCUAUUAAAACGUCCUUAUUGUUUACUUCCGUCAACAAAAUAGUCCUUACUUAUCAUUUCUUUCCUCAAUAAAAUAGUCCAUCCCUAUAUUUUCAUAAAUUGAUUAAAAUGUCGUUAUCUUUUUUCAUAUUUAUCAAAACGUCUUUAUUGUUUCUUUCCGUUAACGAAAUAAUCCUUAUAUUUUUUUCACAUCUAUUAAAAUGUUCUUAUCGUUUCUUUCCGUCAACAAAAUAGUCUCUCAUCUUCCUCUUUCUCUUCCUCCUCAAAAAAACAAGAAAAAAAAUGAAGAAAAAAAGAAGAUAAUGAUAAAGAAUAAGAAAAAGAAUAAAAAAUAAAGAAGAAGAAAAAGAAAAAUGAGAAGAAGACGAUGAUGAUGAAGAAAAAGAAUAAAAGGAAAAAUUACUUUCUCCUUUUUAAAAAAGAAGAAUAAAAAGAAAAAUUAAAAUAGAAUCAAAAAAGAAAAAGAAAAAGAAGAAGAAUAAGAAGAAGAAGAUAAAGAACCGAUGAAGAAGAAGGAGAAGGAGGAAGACAAGAGGGAUAAUUUGAUUUUUUAUUAUAUUUUUAAUGGUAAAAAUAAAUGAAAUGAUUAUUUUAUUGAUAAAUAGAAAAGAUAAUGACGUUUUAAUAAGUUUCUAAAAUUGUAGGGAGUAAUAUCCAAAAAUUAAAUUAUAAAUCAACCUAAUUAAAUUAAUCAUAUUAAUAUGUCAAAAAUAAAUCAAAUGAAUUAUUAGAUUUUUAAGUAUGAAAUAUACAUAAUAAAUUAAUAAUUUAAAUAAACAAGAUACCAAAUUUUGAAUUUUAAACUAAACUAGUUUAUUUUUUUUUUAAAAAAUAUUAUUUUCAUUUCUCAUUUCUCUUUUAUAUAAUAUUAAAAAAUUAUUAUUUAAUUUUUAUAAUAUAAAAAAUUAUAAAUUAAUUUUUUUAAUUUAAAAAAUAUAAUAAAAUAUUUUAAAUAUUUUACUAAUUAAUUCUUCUAUUAACAUUUGUAAUAGAGAUAAAUUAAUUAAUAAUUUUUUUAAAAAUAUAAAAAAUUAAUUAAUUAAUUUUUUAAAAUUAUAAAAAUUAAAUAAUAAAAUUUUUAAAAAUAAAAAUUAAUAAAAUAAAUAAUCAGUAAAUAUUUUUAAAAUAUUAUAAUAUUUAUAUAUUUUUUUUAAAAUUAAAAAAUUUCUUUAUAGUAUAAAGAAUAAAUACUAAUUUUUGCAGUAAUAUUUUGUGAUUUUAAUUUGGCAUUGACUCGAUCAUGAAGUCUUUGUCUUUGUCGGUACUAAAUACAUAAAUUCUAAUUUAAUUUAUUUUAAUUUUAGUUUGUUUGGUGUGGGUCUGUGCACACAUCUCUGGUGUCCAUAAAGUCUCCAUAAAUACUCUCCGAGUCAGAUGUGACUCUGCCUGAACAGCCCUUAAAGCUUUAUAAUAAAAAUCAUACUAAAUUAAAUUUGUUUUUAUUUUAUUUUAUUUUUUAUUUUUUAUUAUUUUACUGAAAACCCAAUUAAAAUAGUAUUAAACUGGUAUCGUAUCCAAACUCACAUUAUAUACAUAUUUUUUAUAAUUUUUAUAUUAUAUAUAAUAAUUUAUAUUUUAAUUUUUAAUAUAAUGAUCAAAUCAAUUUUUAUAUUCUUAACAUAAAAAAUUUAAACUUCUCUAUAAUUCAUCCAUUCAAAUUAAAUAUUCUAUCAUUCAUCUCUUAUUAUUAAAAAUAUUAUUAUUCUUUUAAAUAAAUAAACUAAAUUUUAAUUCUUAAAUUUAAGUAUAAUUAUUUAAUUUAUUUUAUGUAACGACCCGGAAACCGGACCACUACCGGCGCUAGGAUCCAAAUCGGCUUAAGGCAGCCGGAACCCGUAGCAAGCCUAACAUGCAUCCUGAGAACCUGUAUAAUCUCAUACAUGAUCAACAAACAUACAUAAAAACUGUAAACUUUUUUCUUUUUCUUUUCAUACAUUCUUUCAUAUACCAAACUCAACCUGAUCAUACCAUAACUAUACAUUGAUCCCUCUGUGGGAUCUCAUCAAUGCCCCAAUGGGCUACAUACAUAUGUUGAGUUGGUUUACAUCUGUGACAUAAAACAUCUAGGAUCAUAUAAUAAAAGGGACAACAUCAUAGGGUCAAGCACAUCUCUAAACCUCAAUCAUCAUCAUCAUUACAUAACAUACUAUACAAUACUCUUACAUCAUAUUACAAUUUUCAUGUCCACUACCUAUCUAUUACAAGCAUAAAACAUUACUCUUCUUGACUUCUCUGUCUAGCCCGUACCUGCAAACCUGGGGUUAGGGGAGAGGGGUGAGCUAAAAAGCCCAGUGAGCAGAAUAGUAAAAAUAUUGAAUUUAUAUUUCAUGCCUUCAUGAAAUGCAACAUAGCACAAACAAAUCACAUCAAUGAUGAACUUGUCACCAAUAGUCCUCUACAUAAUCCAAACAUGCCAGGGGCGUAGAAUGGGCCUCACUGGUCUUUCUCUUAACAUAUCAUAUCAUACAUAUCAUUCCAUAGUGCCAGGGGCGUAGAAUGGGUCUCACUGGUCUUUCUCUUUCUCUGUGCCAGGGGCGUAGAAUGGGCCUCACUGGUCUUUCCAUACCGUAUCAUCAUCAUGCUAUAACAUAUGAGGACUAAAGGAUCAUUCAAUAUUCAUCCACAUCAUCAUCAAGUUAUACAAUGCAACAUAUUCGUGAUUCUAAUGCAAACAACCUAGUACAUCUCAUGGCAUACGUGAUGCAUGUAUCAUGCUCAACAUUUAUUUAUUAGUUUGAAACUUAAGAAGUUAUUCCACUCACCUCUGGCUAGCUCUGACCAGACACUGGGGCAGCUGACUCACUGCUGGGGUCCUCGGUUCCUCGGGUCCGAACCUACACAGGUGGACUCAAAUGAGGGACCAAACAUACUGAAACAUAACUCUAAACUACUCCCCAAAAACCCCCUAAAACAUCAUAAAACAUUAAUGCAAAAACAUGCAAGAAAUGGCUGAACAGGGCACUUUCGGCGGCAGGUUCGGCGGCCGAAAGUCCCUCCAAAGCCGAAAGUCAGGCAGGUUCGGCGGCACCUUCGGCGGCCGAAACUCCCAGACAGAGACGAAACUCAUGCAUGUUUGGGGGCACCUUCGGCGGCCGAAACUGCCCGACAGAGCCGAAACUCCUCUUUCGGGGGCAAGCUUCGGCAGCCGAAUGCUGCCUCCACAAGAGGGUUCGGCGGCCGAAAGUCCCCUUCGGCAGCCGAACCUGGUUUCUCCCAAAAGGGCAGAAACUCUGCUCAACAUGCACAAAUGCCUCCCAACUCCUCCAUCAUGCACAAACCUAUGCUACAACACUCCCAAACAUGCAUAUAAGCUCCUAGGGGCUCCAAACUAUCCUAAGCCCCAACUACAACACAACAAACAUGCAUAUCACAAGCCACAUUGUACAAAAUCAUGCAUAAAACCCAUAAACUCUACUUAAGCUUACUCAUGCAUUUCUACCCCAUGAACUUGCAUAAAACUUGUUUAAAACAUAAAAUGAACUUAAGAUCGGCUCUUACCUCUUGAAGAUCGAGAAUGAGUCGACUUAAACUCGGAGAUGGGAGAUCUUUAUCUUCCUUGGGUCUCCAAGCUCAAAACUUGCUUAAAAUCGUCAAAUACCUUCAAAUCGACAAAAACAUUGUUAAAAACGAAAGAUCUGAAGGAAAAGCAUUGAAAACAACCUUAGGAGGGCAUAAGCUCACCGUGGCCGAAAAUGGGGAGAAAACUCGCCCGUUUCGGCCAUGGAACUCAUAUAUAGGGGCUGCCAGACCACCUUUCGGCUGCCGAACGUGCCCCCACAUCUCAUGCAUGUUCGGCGGCCGAACAUGAGGUUCGGCGGCCGAACCUUUAAAACUUUCGGAAGCCUAACUUACCCUCCAAAACCAUCCCAUGUUCGGCGGCCGAACUUGGGGUUCGGCGGCGAAACCUGGAAAAGUCUCCUUAGUCUUUUUCAUACAAAACUCAGUUUCCUUUUUAUUUAAAAACAUUAAAUACAUGAAAAACAUUUGUGAAAACAUGAUUCUACCCUUCUAGAGGUCUCUGACAUCCAAAUUCCACCGGACGGUAGGAAUUCCAGUACCGGAAUCUAGCCGGAUAUUACAUUUUAAUAUUUUUAAAAUUAAACAUUUAAAUAUCUUUAUAAUUAAACUUUUCAUAUAUUUAUUUUUAUUAAAAAUAUAAAAAUAUUUUUAUUAUUUUUUAAAUUAAAAAUAUUAAUAAAUUAGAUUUCAUUCAUUUCACUCAUUUAUUAAAAUUUAAAUAGCUAAAUUUAUUUUUUAUUUUUUAUUUGAUAUAAUACUUAAAAUUAAAUUUUAUCUAAAUUAUCACAUUCAAUUAAUUUUUAAUAUUUUUACUAUUUAAUUUCUAUUCAUUAAAAUAUUUUAAUAUUAAAUAAUUUCAAAAUUUUUAAAAGUAUUUAUAAAUUUAAUAAUUUUUAAAUUGUAUUAUAUAUUUAUAAAUAAUAAACUUUACGCCGUAUUCUUAGAGAAAAAAAAUUAUAUUUUUAGAAAUUUGAUAAUAAAGUAGCUUUUAACUAAUAUAUAUAAUGUUUAAAAAAAUUGAAUAUAAAAAAUUUACAAUUUUAGUUUUAAAAAUAUAAGAUUAAUUUAUUAAUUAUAUUUAAAAUUUAGAUAUAAAAUUAUAAUUUAUGCCAUAUAAAUAAUUUUAUCUACAUUAUUAUAUUUAUUAAAUUAUUUUAAAUAUUUAUUUUUUAAUUUAUUAAUUGAUAUAUUUUUUAAAAUUAAUAAAUUUUUUAUAUAAAUAAAAACCUACAUAAUAUAUUAGAUUCAAAUCCCAACAAGUCAAGAUACGACUAACAAGAGAGAUGGGCCCGCUGGCUAUGGAUGAGUAAAGACUGGUGAAUACUGAAUAGAAGGGUAUGUAAGAGUUGACCGGCGAUGACUGCUUAUAGUUAUAUAAUUAAAUUAAGCGUGGGUAUUAAAUUUUUUUAUAUUAUUAUUAUAUAACAUUAUUUUAUAAAAUAAUAUUUUUUUAGUAUAAAUUUACUUCACUUGUUAAGAAAAAUAAAAUAUUUAUUUAAAAAUUUUAAAUUCAAAAUAAUAAUUAAAUACAAAUUUAUGCACUAUAAAUCUCAAUUGUAACAAAUAAAAUUAAAAAUUUCAAUAAAUAAUAUAUAUUAAUAAAUUUAUUCAACAAAUUAUAUUUUAAAAAAAAUAAAGUUUAUUAAAUUGAAUAAAUCUCAAUUAUAGCAAAUAAAGUUUAUAAAUGGAAUAGAGAAUGAAAGAAUUAUUUUAUUGAUAAGAAAAAAAUAUAAAAUAUUUUAAUAAAUUUUUAAAAAUUUAUGGACUGACUUAUUAAUAAUGAUAAUAUUUAAAAAUUAAAUUAUAAUUUUUUUAUAAUUAUUACACUUAUUAAUAAUAUAAAAUAAAAUAAAUUUCAUUUAAACAAUUAAGUUCAUUUUUCAUUUGAAAAAAUAUUUAAAUUCUCAUUAAACUUUGUUUAACCUAUCACAUUCAAUUAAUUACUAUUUAAUUUUUAUUUAUUAAAAUAUUUUAAUAUCAUAUAACUUCAAAAUUUAAAAAAAAAAUUAUAAAUUUAAUAUUUUUAAAUGGUAUCAAAUAUUUAUAGAUUAUAGACUUUAUACUAUAUUUUAAAAAAAAAUUAUAUUUUCAAAAGUUUGUUCAUUUAGUAAUUUUUAAUUAAUAUUUAUAAUAAAUAAAAAAAUUAUAAUUUUAGAUAAAUUAAAUAUAAAAAAUUUAAGAGUUUAAUUUUAAAAAAUAUAAAAAUUAAUCUAUUAAUUAUUAAAAUUUAAAUAUAAAAUUAUAAUUUAUAUAAUAUAAAAAAAUUUAUCCAUGUUACUUUAUUUAUUAAGUUAUUUUAACUUGUGAACUAAUAUGGAUAGAAAAAUAAUAGAACCACCUCUGAUUUGAGAGCAGAGAAUUAAUGGAGUUGACGAGCGAUGACUUGAUUGCAAUUUCCAGCCAAGGAAUUAAAUUGCUUUGUCCUUUGCUUUUAUAAAGUAAGGCCCAUUGCACGUCAAUAUUCUAAAUUUAUUUUAAAUAAAUUAAUAAUUUUUUUUUAAAUUAUAAAAAUUAAAUAAUAAAAUUUUUAAAAACAAAAAUUAAUAGAAUAAAUAAUCAGUAAAUAUUUUAAAAUAUUAUAAUAUUUUUAUAUAUUUUUUAAAAUUAAAAAAUUUCUUUAUAGCAUAAAGAAUAAAUAUUAAUUUUUAUUUUAAUUUGACAUUGACUCGAUCAUGAAAUUUUUGUUUUUAUCGGUACUAAAUACAUAAAUUAUAAUUUAAUUUAUUUUAAUUUUAGUUUGUUUGGUGUCAGUCAAUCGACACAUACAAAAUUUAAAAAUUUCACUCAUAUUAUUAUAUUUAUCAAAUUAUUUUAAAUGUUUAAAAUAUUUAUUUUUAAAUUUAUUAAUUAAUAUAAUUAUGGAUGUAAAAAAUCUCUAAAAUUAUAGAGGACCUCUGAUUUGAGAGCAGAAUAGAGAUAGGAAGCAGAGAAAUGAAGAACACAAGUGUGAGAGGGUGAAUAGAGGUUAGGUAGGAGUUGACGAGUGAUGACUUGAUUGCAAUUUGCAGAAAAAGAAUUAAAUUGCUUUGUCCUUUGCUUUUAUUUUUUAAUAAAUAAAAUCAAAAAUUUUAUAAAAUAGUAAUAAUAUUUUAAAGGGAGAUUUAUAAUUUAAUUUCUAGAUAUUAUUAUUAUUAAUAAAUCAAUAUUUAUAUUUUUAAAAAUUUAUUAAAAUAUUUUUAUAUUUUCUUUUUCGUCGAUAAAAUGGUCAUUCCGUCCUCUAUUAAAAUAUUUUUAUAUUUUCUUUUCCAUCAAUAAAAUAGUCAUUCCGUCCUCUUUUCCGUUAAAAUUAGAUAAAAGGUAAGAGAUAAAAUUUUUAAAUUCCAAUUUUAUCCUCAAAUAAAAUAUUUUAUUUAAUUCUUAUCGUUUCUUUUCGUCAACGAAAUAAUUCCUAUAUUUUUUACAUCUAUUAAAACGUUCUUAUCGUUUCUUUUCGUCAACGAAAUAGCUCUUCCUCUCUCGACCUUCUCCUCUCCACCUCCUCCUCCUUCCUCCUCUUCCUCCUCUUCCUCCUCCUCCUCAUUAUCAUCAUCAUUAAAAAAGAAAAAAAAAAGAAAAUGAUGAUGAUAAUGAUGAAGGAGAAGAAGAAAAAGAAGAAGGAGAAGGAGAAGAAGAAAAAGAAGAAGGAGAAGGAGAAGAAGCAGAAGUGAAGAAAAAGCAGAAGAAGCAGAAGUAGAAGUGAAGAAUCGAAAAAGAAAGAGGAAGAAUCGAUGAAGAAGAAAGAGGAGGAGAAAAAGGAAAAGAAGGAGGACAAUUUGGUCUUUUAAUAUAUUUUUAACUGCAAAAAUAAAUAGAAUGACUAUUUCGUUGACGGAUAAAAAAGAUAAGUACGUUUUAAUAGAUUUCUAAAAAUACAGAGACUUGACUGAUUAAUAAUGCCAAUAUCCAAGAACUAAAUUAUACAUCUCCCUAAUUUAAAUUUAAUAUAUCAUAUUUUCUUCCACACCUUAUAUAUAUUGGAUCAUUAAUUAUGGACUGCAUCAUCUCUCACAAAUCCUGAAAUUUUCCUUUAAUUUCUUCAUUUUCAUCUUUGCUCAUUUUCAGUUUUUUUCUUUCUAUCGAUGGCUGAACAAAUCCCAUUUAGCAUUGCGGAAAACUUACUAAUAAAGUUGGCCUCAAUUGCUUCUGAAGAAGUUAGUUUGGUGUAUGGCUUCAAAAAGGAUCUUAGGAAGCUUCAAACUACUCUCUCCACCAUCAAAGCAAUACUUGUGGAUGCUGAGGAGAAGCAAGAGGAGAGCCUUGCAGUGAAGAACUGGGUAAGGAGGCUUAGAGAGGUUGUCUAUGAUGCAGAUGACUUGUUCGAUGAUUUUGCAACUGAAGGUUUGAGAAGGAAGGCUGAAGGUGAGGGAAGAAUGGUUAGGAAGGUAUGCGACUUCUUUUCUUCCUCCAAUCAAAUUGCAUUUCGUUUCAAGAUGGGUCAUAGUAUUAAAGAUAUUAGAGAGAGGCUGGAUGAAAUCGCCAAAGAAAUAUCUGACUUUGGCUUUAUAAUUAGGAAGGAAGUUGGAGUAUGUAUGGGAAUAAAGAAUAGUUGGAGGGAGACAGAUUCCUUUGUAUUGAAAUCAGAAAUUGUAGGAAGAGAUGAAGAUAAGGAGAAGAUCAUAGAAUCAUUGAUGUGUCCAGUCAAUCAAAGCAAUAUUUCUGUAGUUGCAAUUGUAGGGUUUGGUGGCUUAGGAAAGACUGCACUUGCCCAAUUAGUGUUUAAUGAUGAGAAAGUGGUGAAUUAUUUUGAUUUGAAGUUAUGGGUAUGUGUUUCUGAGGAGUCAAAUGUUGAAACACUAGUUAAACUCAUCCUUAAAAGUGCAAGCAAUAAUGAAGUGCCCAACUUGUCUUUGGAACAGUUACAGAUUCGCCUUAGACAAUGUUUAGAAGGCAAAAAGUACUUGUUGGUGUUGGAUGAUGUGUGGAAUGUAAACAAUAGGAUUUGGAGUCACUUGAGGAAAUAUUUGAUGGUUGGUGCCAUUGGGAGUAGAAUUUUAGUAACUAGUCGUAGUAAGAGGGUUGCUUUAGCUAUGGGUGUAGACUCUCCAUAUGCUUUACAGGGUCUUACUGAAGAUCAAUCAUGGGAGCUAUUUGAGAAGCUAACAUUUAGAGAGGGAACAGGAAGAGUGAAUUCAAAUCUAAUAGAAAUUGGAAAAGAAAUGGCAAAGAAAUGCAAAGGAGUUCCACUUGCAAUUAAAGCUAUAGGAGGCAUAAUGCAACUAAGAAGUAGUGAAAGUGAAUGGUUGUCUGUCCUAGAAAAUGAGUUGUGGAAGGUAUUCGAGAGUGAUGGUGAUAUUAGUCAAGUGUUGAAAUUGAGUUAUGAUGUCUUACCAUACCAUUUAAAGCAGUGUUUUGCAUAUUGCGCAAUGUUUCCAAAAGAUUUUGCGUUUGUUAAGGAUAAAUUAAUUCAGUUGUGGAUGGCACAAGGCUAUGUUCAAUCUCAAAGUCAAAGUGAAAAUGAAAAUUUAGAGGAGAUUGGGGAAGGAUACUUCAAUGAAUUGUUAUUUAGGUCAUUUUUCCAAAAGGAUGAGUAUUGUUAUAAAAUGCAUGACCUUAUCCAUGACCUUGCACAGUCAAUAGCAGGGGAUAGUUGUUUUGCAGUUGAUGAUAAUACUAAACAUAUUCCUGAUAGAGUCCAACAUGUGUUCUCUGGAAAUUUGUCUUUUGAGGAAUGCUUCAGGCAGCUAAAAAAUAAAGGAUUGAGGACACUGUAUUGUCCAUAUAUUGGUGAUGGAUUAAGGUUGAAUUUAGAUAGUAUCUUUUCAAAUUGUAGGAGCAUACGUGCUUUGAGUUUUGGAUGGAAUAUCAAUGGAUUGCCAGAUUCAAUUGGAAAGUUGAAACACCUGAGGUAUCUUGAAUUUUUUAGUUCUAAUAUCAGUUCACUUCCAAACUGCAUUUGCAGCUUGUAUAAUUUGCAAACUCUAAUACUCUGGGAAUGUCGGAUUCUUAAAGAAUUACCUACAGACAUGAGGAAAUUGAUUUGUCUCGGACAACUUAUUAAUAAGGGUUGUGGUAGCCUUGAAUUCAUGCCAUUGGGGUUGGGGAGAUUGACAAAUCUGCAGACUUUGUCAACUUUUGUUGUGGGAAGUGAUCAAGGAAGGAGAUGUUCCUCAUUGAAUGAGUUGAAUAGCUUAAACCGGCUGCGAGGUGAAAUCUGCAUUAAAGGACUAGGAAAUGUGAAAAAUGCGGCUUUGGAGUCCAACCUAGUAAAUUUCAAGGAAAAGAAACACCUUCAGUGCUUAAGAUUAACCUGGGAUGGCAAGGGAUAUAGCAAUAGCGGAAAUAGUGAGUUGUUGUUGGAUAACCUACAACCUCACCCGAAUUUGAAAGAAUUGAAUGUUAUGUGCUAUGAAGGCGUGAGGUUUUCAAAUUGGCUUUCUUCUAUCACAAAUCUCGUCAAUAUUACUUUAUAUAAAUGUCCGAAAUGUGAGCAUUUGCCGCCAUUGGACAAUCUGCCUUAUCUGGAAAUUCUCAAUCUUAGCUAUUUCCAUUCUCUGGAGUACAUAUCAGAUGAAGAUAAUUUAUUCUCUUCUUUAUCUGCAUCAACAACAUCAUUCUUUCCAUCUCUAAAUAUUCUUAAACUCGAAUCUUGCCCUAAUCUGAAAGGGUGGUGGAGAACAUUUAUGGAAGCAAAGAUGGUGCCUCAAUUUCCUUGUCUUUCUACAUUAACCAUCUCUAAUUGCCCUAACCUGACUUUGAUGCCAAUGUUUCCAUCACUAGACAUGGGGCUUCAUCUUGCCUAUGCCCACAUAAGACCAUUCCAUUAUACAUUGCAGAUGUCUGCAACGGCUUCUGCAGUACCAUCAACCUCUUCUUCAGUUACUUCUCCUUUUUCCAAAUUAAAGACUUUGUGGUUACAGGGUAUUGAGAAUCUAGCAUCUCUACCUGGAGAGUGGAUGCAGAACCUCAGCUUCCUUGAGGAACUAUUUCUUAGCUACUGCAUGGAAAUUAGUGAUGAGGAUGAGCGUGGCAUAUUCAAAUGGAGAUAUCUUGUUAGUCUCCGAAAUCUCUCUCUCUCUAAUCUUUCAAAUCUGUUGUCUCUACCAAGGGAGCUUCAAUAUGUUACCACCUUGCAACGUCUUACUAUCCGCGAAUGUUCUAAUUUGAGGGCUUUGCCUGAAUGGAUAGGCAACCUCACAGCACUCCAAAAUCUAUGUAUCAAUGUCUGCCCUAAACUGGAAUCGCUACCAAGAGGGCUGCGUCAAAUCACCACUUUACAACAGUUGAAUGUUACCCUUUGCCCCCAUUUGUCUGAGAGAUGCACACACAAUAUGGCUGCAGAUUGGCCCAACAUUUCUCACAUCCUAAAUAUCCAUAUAAAUGGAAAUCAUAUUCAAAAGGAGGGCCGGUAUUUAUUGUAAGAAGAAGGAUCCUCUGCUUUCACAGGUUAGGACUUUCUUCGCUUCAUCCCUUCUUUUUUUUAUAUUUUAUUUUAAAUGAAAUCACCUAAUUUUUUCAAACAAAUACUUCUAUCCAGUAGGCUACUCUAUUCUGUCUUCACCUUAUCUAAGUUAACUUACUUUUCUGAUUCUAUAUGCAGAGAUGCUGGAAUAUAUGUUGCUCUUAUACACCGCCAACCUUUGUCAAAUUUUAGAAUGGCUCUAAUGAUGACAGGUGGAUAACAAAACUAAAAAAAUCAAAUACCAUGUUAUUUUUAUCAGUAAAUCACAUUUAUGAACUUUAUUUUUCUCACAGUUUCACCUUCUUGUUACCCUUUAGCAUCUGAAGAAUAUUUUAUCCUCAAUCAAAUACUAUGUUAUACAACUCUUGAUUCUUCCAAUUCUGAACACAAAUUAUGUCUGCAGGCAAUAGAAGCAAAUGAGGUUUGUGGUGUGGCAGAUGAUUUCUGGAUGUUGUAAUUGACUCAUUGACUAUUAUACAGGUUCUUAUCUCUUAACCAGUUUUUUGGGAUUUUAUAUUUUUUAAAAAAUUUUUGCCAUAUUUUAUUAUUCUUUUAAUAUUGCCGUAAUUUAGCAAUUACCUUUUUUAUUUUGUCUUAUAUGCAGAACUGGAAGGAUGUGGAUAACUUGAAUUAACUCUUGGAAUAGACAUUUGAAUUAAUUUUGCAUUUUUGGAAGCAAUGGGAAUUUGCAUUCUGUAUCUAAAAGUCAAUUGCUCUCCAACUUACUUUGCAUCGUCGCUACUCCUCUGAGAAUGGAGAAGCAAGCCACUCCAAGCAAGGUCUAGGAUCAGAGCAGCAGAUCCUGGAGCCUCAAGGACUGGUAUCUUUCAAGAGUCAACAAGUGUGGUUCUGUGAUAUAAGCAGGGCUUGAAGUAUGUUGAUACCUGGUAUAUUUGCAAUCAUUGUUCUAUCUUGAUAGUGAAUUUUCUGAAUUUAAUUGCAAUAUGUUCAUGUGUUAAUCCUUGCAGGCUACCAAGCAUGCAAUUGAUUUUAAGCAAAGGUUGGAUCUCGUGUUUAAUUUGUUGUUUUAUAAUAAUUUGAAUGUUUUGAAAGUUAUCAAAGCAUCUUCUGUUUUGGUCUCUCCUGAAUUGUUUGAAAAUAAAGUAAUGGCUCCAUGAAUUCCUAGAUUCUUUGAAAGUGAGAUGGAUCCCAAGUGUCUUAGAGGAGGAGUGGAGGAAAUAAUCGGUGCUGUGAAUUCACUUGUUCUUCUUUCAUAGUAGGCAGCUUUUGGCUCAGCCGUGGAGAAAUGGUCUGCUGUCGUGACAAAAAAUGGCUUCAGAAUAGGCAAUGGUAAAUAUCAUAUGACCUUGUGAAUAGUGGUUUAAAAACAAUUUAGAAGAUUUUGGAAGAGAACUAAUACUCUUUGACAGAUUUACAGGUGAAGAUGGUAAUGAUACUUGCAAAUUCAGUUUGCUUUGAAAGAAUAUGCAUUGGUUGUGGGGGAUGAAGAAUCCUGAACUUUUUUAAUCUUUCAUUGAGUGGACAGACAUCGUUUAAGGUUGCAAAUCUAAGAGCUGCUCUUUUCUUGUUCUUUUCACAAGUGUCUUCAUUAGUGAGCAUCCAUAAACAGUACUGAGCUAUUUCACUUGUGGCAACUACCAAUGAGAAAGCAGAAAGCUUAUACUCUCUCUAUCCAUGUGCUAAUCCUUGUAGGCAAUCAACAGAUACUGGAACCUCAACAACUUCCUCUGGGAGAACGAAGCAGA
Molecule: long non-coding RNA, 16364 nt
Filed under: Manihot esculenta (cassava)
Lineage: Eukaryota; Viridiplantae; Streptophyta; Magnoliopsida; Malpighiales; Euphorbiaceae
Description: long non-coding RNA (MESC_LNC006283)
Source: RNAcentral